Molecule: ribosomal RNA, 465 nt
Filed under: Vreelandella stevensii
Lineage: Bacteria; Pseudomonadati; Pseudomonadota; Gammaproteobacteria; Oceanospirillales; Halomonadaceae
Description: partial 16S ribosomal RNA
Rfam family: Bacterial small subunit ribosomal RNA
Source: RNAcentral
CCUACGGGGGGCUGCAGUGGGGAAUAUUGGACAAUGGGCGAAAGCCUGAUCCAGCCAUGCCGCGUGUGUGAAGAAGGCCUUCGGGUUGUAAAGCACUUUCAGUGGGGAAGAAAGCCUUGGGGCUAAUACCCUCGAGGAAGGACAUCACCCACAGAAGAAGCACCGGCUAACUCCGUGCCAGCAGCCGCGGUAAUACGGAGGGUGCGAGCGUUAAUCGGAAUUACUGGGCGUAAAGCGCGCGUAGGCGGUCUGAUAAGCCGGUUGUGAAAGCCCCGGGCUCAACCUGGGAACGGCAUCCGGAACUGUCAGGCUAGAGUGCAGGAGAGGAAGGUAGAAUUCCCGGUGUAGCGGUGAAAUGCGUAGAGAUCGGGAGGAAUACCAGUGGCGAAGGCGGUCUUCUGGACUGACACUGACGCUGAGGUGCGAAAGCGUGGGUAGCAAACAGGAUUAGAUACCCGAGUAGUC